GAUGAACGCUGGCGGCGUGCCUAAUACAUGCCAGUCGAGCGAACGGACGAGAAGGUUGCUUCUCGGAUGUUAGCGGCGGACGGGUGAGUAACACGUGGAUAACCUACCUAUAAGACUGGGAGAACUUCGGGAAACCGGAGCGAAUACCGGAUAAUAUUGUGAACCGCAUGGUUCAAAAGUGAAAGACGGUCUUGCUGUCACUUGUAGAUGGAGCCGCGCUGCAUUAGCUAGUUGGUAAGGUAACGGCUUACCAAGGCAACGAUGCAUAGCCGACCUGAGAGGGUGAUCGGCCACACUGGAACUGAGACACGGUCCAGACUCCUACGGGAGGCAGCAGUAGGGAAUCUUCCGCAAUGGGCGAAAGCCUGACGGAGCCACGCCGCGUGAGUGAUGAAGGUCUUCGGAUCGUAAAACUCUGUUAUUAGGGACGAACAUAUGUGUAAGUAACUGUGCACAUCUUGACGGUACCUAAUCAGAAAGCCACGGCUAACUACGUG
RNAcentral lists this ribosomal RNA (497 nucleotides) under uncultured bacterium. RNAcentral's name for it is "partial 16S ribosomal RNA". It matches the Rfam family "Bacterial small subunit ribosomal RNA", at positions 28 to 507 of the family's 1533-position model. The record is from RNAcentral.